UUCACGUGUAGCAGUGAAAUGCGUAGAGAUGUGGAGGAAUACCGAUGGCGAAGGCAGCCCCCUGGGAUAACACUGACGCUCAUGCACGAAAGCGUGGGGAGCAAACAGGAUUAGAUACCCUGGUAGUCCACGCCCUAAACGAUGUCAACUAGUUGUUGGGGAUUCAUUUCCUUAGUAACGUAGCUAACGCGUGAAGUUGACCGCCUGGGGAGUACGGUCGCAAGAUUAAAACUCAAAGGAAUUGACGGGGACCCGCACAAGCGGUGGAUGAUGUGGAUUAAUUCGAUGCAACGCGAAAAACCUUACCUACCCUUGACAUGCCACUAACGAAGCAGAGAUGCAUUAGGUGCUCGAAAGAGAAAGUGGACACAGGUGCUGCAUGGCUGUCGUCAGCU
RNAcentral lists this ribosomal RNA (395 nucleotides) under uncultured Pseudomonadota bacterium. Its description in RNAcentral is "bacterial SSU rRNA". It matches the Rfam family "Bacterial small subunit ribosomal RNA", at positions 668 to 1060 of the family's 1533-position model. Lineage: Bacteria; Pseudomonadati; Pseudomonadota. The record is from RNAcentral.